Molecule: ribosomal RNA, 253 nt
Filed under: uncultured bacterium
Lineage: Bacteria
Description: partial 16S ribosomal RNA
Rfam family: Bacterial small subunit ribosomal RNA
Source: RNAcentral
UACGGAGGGGACUAGCGUUGUUCGGAAUUACUGGGCGUAAAGCGCACGUAGGCGGCUUUGUAAGUCAGGGGUGAAAUCCCGGGGCUCAACCUCGGAACUGCCUUUGAUACUGCAAAUCUCGAGUCCGGAAGAGGUGAGUGGAAUUCCUAGUGUAGAGGUGAAAUUCGUAGAUAUUAGGAAGAGCACCAGUGGCGAAGGCGGCUCACUGGUCCGGUACUGACGCUGAGGUGCGAAAGCGUGGGGAGCAAACAGG